AAAUUGAAGAGUUUGAUCAUGGCUCAGAUUGAACGCUGGCGGCAGGCCUAACACAUGCAAGUCGAACGGUAACAGGAAACAGCUUGCUGUUUCGCUGACGAGUGGCGGACGGGUGAGUAAUGUCUGGGAAACUGCCUGAUGGAGGGGGAUAACUACUGGAAACGGUAGCUAAUACCGCAUAACGUCGCAAGACCAAAGAGGGGGACCUUCGGGCCUCUUGCCAUCGGAUGUGCCCAGAUGGGAUUAGCUAGUAGGUGGGGUAACGGCUCACCUAGGCGACGAUCCCUAGCUGGUCUGAGAGGAUGACCAGCCACACUGGAACUGAGACACGGUCCAGACUCCUACGGGAGGCAGCAGUGGGGAAUAUUGCACAAUGGGCGCAAGCCUGAUGCAGCCAUGCCGCGUGUAUGAAGAAGGCCUUCGGGUUGUAAAGUACUUUCAGCGGGGAGGAAGGGAGUAAAGUUAAUACCUUUGCUCAUUGACGUUACCCGCAGAAGAAGCACCGGCUAACUCCGUGCCAGCAGCCGCGGUAAUACGGAGGGUGCAAGCGUUAAUCGGAAUUACUGGGCGUAAAGCGCACGCAGGCGGUUUGUUAAGUCAGAUGUGAAAUCCCCGGGCUCAACCUGGGAACUGCAUCUGAUACUGGCAAGCUUGAGUCUCGUAGAGGGGGGUAGAAUUCCAGGUGUAGCGGUGAAAUGCGUAGAGAUCUGGAGGAAUACCGGUGGCGAAGGCGGCCCCCUGGACGAAGACUGACGCUCAGGUGCGAAAGCGUGGGGAGCAAACAGGAUUAGAUACCCUGGUAGUCCACGCCGUAAACGAUGUCGACUUGGAGGUUGUGCCCUUGAGGCGUGGCUUCCGGAGCUAACGCGUUAAGUCGACCGCCUGGGGAGUACGGCCGCAAGGUUAAAACUCAAAUGAAUUGACGGGGCCCGCACAAGCGGUGGAGCAUGUGGUUUAAUUCGAUGCAACGCGAAGAACCUUACCUGGUCUUGACAUCCACGGAAGUUUUCAGAGAUGAGAAUGUGCCUUCGGGAACCGUGAGACAGGUGCUGCAUGGCUGUCGUCAGCUCGUGUUGUGAAAUGUUGGGUUAAGUCCCGCAACGAGCGCAACCCUUAUCCUUUGUUGCCAGCGGUCCGGCCGGGAACUCAAAGGAGACUGCCAGUGAUAAACUGGAGGAAGGUGGGGAUGACGUCAAGUCAUCAUGGCCCUUACGACCAGGGCUACACACGUGCUACAAUGGCGCAUACAAAGAGAAGCGACCUCGCGAGAGCAAGCGGACCUCAUAAAGUGCGUCGUAGUCCGGAUUGGAGUCUGCAACUCGACUCCAUGAAGUCGGAAUCGCUAGUAAUCGUGGAUCAGAAUGCCACGGUGAAUACGUUCCCGGGCCUUGUACACACCGCCCGUCACACCAUGGGAGUGGGUUGCAAAAGAAGUAGGUAGCUUAACCUUCGGGAGGGCGCUUACCACUUUGUGAUUCAUGACUGGGGUGAAGUCGUAACAAGGUAACCGUAGGGGAACCUGCGGUUGGAUCACCUCCUUA
RNAcentral lists this ribosomal RNA (1541 nucleotides) under Escherichia coli. RNAcentral describes it as "bacterial SSU rRNA". It matches the Rfam family "Bacterial small subunit ribosomal RNA". The record is from RNAcentral. Lineage: Bacteria; Pseudomonadati; Pseudomonadota; Gammaproteobacteria; Enterobacterales; Enterobacteriaceae.